UAGAGGUUAACCGUGAUCACGAAGGCGGUUCCUCCGGAGUGAGGCUUGGCCAUUGCACAUUCGGUCGAGUUGACCUCUGCGAUUAUUCCUAAUGUGAAUAACUCGUGCGUGUAAUUUUUGGUAGCCGGGAAUGGCGUUCGCGCCGUCCCGACAUUUAUAAUACAUAUUGGAAUACGUAAACUUGAUGUGUGCAGUGUGACCAGCUUGCACUAAUAUCGAUAUUAUAAUUUUAUCGAUACCAUGGUAUACCGAUACCAUUUCAUUUUAUCGAUACCAUCGGGACAUGGUCAACACUGUAACUGCGGCAAUCGCUGCAGCCCUGGUUAUAUUGCGCGCGAAUAUUCAAAAAUCGAUGGAGGGCUGAAAUACUUAUCUGGACAAAUUUUGCUACCCUGUGAAAAUGAUAUAUGGAUGACGUUAUUGAUGCAUUCGGAAAUGGCUAUUAAUAAGGAAAGUACCAAUAUAGCCAUGGAUCGAGCUACUAUAUCAUAUUGAUACAGCUGCCAAAGGAACGGCCGCGAAAAGAAGUUACCAUAAGGAACUUUUUAAAAAUAAAAUAAAUUAAGCUCAGAGGAUAAAAUUCGACGGAUGCUUUCCAGCCAAAUUGGAUCUGCGAGGAAAAGAAGAAUCUACUAAACUGAAACACAAGAGAGUUAGUUUUUAUGCAAUGCACGCUUUAAUGAAAAUAUACUUGCGUUUGUAUAUUUGUAUGUGUACGCUAGA
RNAcentral lists this small RNA (723 nucleotides) under Drosophila virilis. RNAcentral's name for it is "GJ26789". The stretch from base 1 to 152 matches the Rfam family "U1 spliceosomal RNA". The record is from RNAcentral. Lineage: Eukaryota; Metazoa; Arthropoda; Insecta; Diptera; Drosophilidae.